This 406-nucleotide ribosomal RNA is filed under the name uncultured bacterium. Its description in RNAcentral is "partial 16S ribosomal RNA". It matches the Rfam family "Bacterial small subunit ribosomal RNA", at positions 30 to 526 of the family's 1533-position model. The record is from RNAcentral.
AUUGAACGCUGGCGGCAUGCCUAACACAUGCAAGUCGAACGAGGGGCGGACGGGUGAGUAAUGUCGGGGACACUGCCUUAUGGAGGGGGAUAACUCCUGGAACCGGUAGUUAAUACCGCAUACCAUCAGAUGUGCCCAGAUUGGAUUAGCUAGUUGGUGGGGUAACGGCUCACCAAGGCGAAGAUCCCUAGCUGGUCUGAGAGGAUGACCUGCCACACUGGAACUGAGACACGGUCCAGACUCCUACGGGAGGCAGCAGUGGGGAAUAUUGCACAAUGGGCGAAAGCCUGAUGCAGCCAUGCCGCGUGUAUGAAGAAGGCCUUCGGGUUGUAAAGUACUUUCAGCGGGGAGGCGUUACCCGCAGAAGAAGCAACGGCUAACUCCGUGCCAGCAGCCGCGGUAAUAC